UACGGAGGAUGCAAGCGUUAUCCGGAUUUAUUGGGUUUAAAGGGUGCGUAGGCGGCUCUUUAAGUCAGUGGUGAAAUCCUGCCGCUUAACGGUAGAAUUGCCAUUGAUACUGAAGAGCUUGAGUUCAGUUGAGGUAGGCGGAAUGUGUAGUGUAGCGGUGAAAUGCUUAGAUAUUACACAGAACACCGAUUGCGAAGGCAGCUUACUAAACUGUUACUGACGCUGAUGCACGAAAGCGUGGGGAU
Molecule: ribosomal RNA, 245 nt
Filed under: uncultured Sunxiuqinia sp.
Lineage: Bacteria; Pseudomonadati; Bacteroidota; Bacteroidia; Marinilabiliales; Prolixibacteraceae
Description: partial 16S ribosomal RNA
Rfam family: Bacterial small subunit ribosomal RNA
Source: RNAcentral